This is a non-coding RNA of Arachis ipaensis, 552 nucleotides long. The record is from RefSeq and is a predicted model, not a curated record. Lineage: Eukaryota; Viridiplantae; Streptophyta; Magnoliopsida; Fabales; Fabaceae.
UUUGAAAUUGUUAGUAAUUAAGUUGAUGAAGGUAGCUAUUUUGUAAAAUAGCUCAAUUACAAUGGUUAAUCUUUUUUUUUUUGAAAUAAUUGUUCAAAUUAAUCAUAAAAUCAAGUGCACUUUAAAUAAAGGUUGUAGUGGUCUAUGUGUGUGGAUCUUUUCUGAUUGGAGUAUUGAACAUGUCAGUGGUGAAAUUUUAACAUUGUUUGAUAAGGUAGUCCCUAGAAUGGGUCCUAAGAGAUGAUGGUGAAGAUUCACUCGUGACAUGAUCAAGUGCUUUUUCCAAUUAUUAUUGUUUUUAUUAUGUAAUUGUCUUUUGAUUUCAGGUAGGUUUGCUUAAAGAAGUUUCAUUGUUUUGUUGGAGAGGACACCAAGACGUGGCUAUCUGUUGCUGGAAAUUUGUUUUUAUUUUUUGUUGUGUUGACUAUUGAACCUUUAAACUUCUUUAAUUGUCGUAUUUUAAUUUCUUUUGUUGUUGAAUUUCAUUGAAUCAAGACUUUUGUUAGUUAUGGUGUACUUGUAUUCUAUAAUUUCAAUGUUAUGACUUUGCAU